This 1149-nucleotide ribosomal RNA is filed under the name Candidatus Moraniibacteriota bacterium. RNAcentral describes it as "bacterial LSU rRNA". It matches the Rfam family "Bacterial large subunit ribosomal RNA", at positions 1 to 1137 of the family's 2925-position model. Lineage: Bacteria; Candidatus Moraniibacteriota. The record is from RNAcentral.
AUACUAAUGCAUAUGGUGAAUGCCUUGACACUAAAAAGCGAUGAAGGACGUAGCUAGCUGCGAUAAGCUUCGGUGAGGUGCUGAGCAACCUUUGACCCGGAGAUUUCCGAAUGGGAAAACCUAUCCGCCUUUGGCGGAUAUCUUCACAUGAAUUCAUAGUGUGAUGAAGCGAACCCUGGGAACUGAAACAUCUUAGUACCAGGAGGAAGAGAAAACAAAAGUGAUUCCGUGAGUAGUGGCGAGCGAAAGCGGAAAAGUCUAAACCAUUAGUCGCAAGACUAGCGGGGUUGCGAGAUAAUUUUACUCGUUUAAUCGGGGUAAAAAAUAUUUUAUUAACAAAAUAUUCUGGAAAGAAUGACCAUAGAGGGUGAAAGUCCCGUAUGUGAAAAUAAAAUACUUUUAUGAAAUUAUUCUCAAGUAGGGCGGGACCGGAGAAAUCCCGUUUGAAGCCGGGGCCACUAUAGCUCCAAGACUAAAUAUUUUUAGUGAUCGAUAGCGAACAAGUACCGUGAGGGAAAGGUGAAAAGCAUCCCGAUGAGGGAGAUGAAAUAGUAUCUGAAACCAUAUGCUAACGAAGAGUAGGAGCCCCGAUUUAUCGGGGUGACUGCGUGCUUUUUGUAGAACGAUCCAGCGAGUUAGUUCUGUGCCGUUGACUAAGCAACUUUGUUGCGGAGUCAAAGUGAAAGCGAGCCUGAAAGGGCGAAUUAUAAUGGCAUGGACUAGACCCGAAGCCAGGUGAGCUAUUUAUGAGCAGGGUGAAUUUGCUGUAACAGGCAAAGGAGGCCCGAACCCACGAGCCGUGCAACACUCGGGGAUGACUUGUGAAUAGAGGAGAAAUUCCAAUCGAACUUGGCGAUAGCUGGUUCUUCCUGAAAUAGCUUGAGGGCUAGCGCUUAUUAAAUGAGCACAAUAGGUAGAGCACUGAAUGAGAUCGGCGCGGUUCGCCGUAGCCAUCUCAACCAAACUCCGAAUUAUUGUGUUUCUUAUCUAAGCAGUCAGUACUCCGGGGCUAAGCUCGGAGCACAAAAGGGAAAAAGCCCAGAUCACAAUCUAAGGUCCCCAAAUCUAUGUUAAGUGGUAAAGGAGGUGAAGUUUCUUAUACACCUAGGAGGUUGGCUCAGAAGCAGCCAUCCUUUAAAGAGUGCGUAA